CGGGGUGUAGCUCAGUCUGGUAGAGCGCUGCGUUUGGGACGCAGAAGUCGCAAGUUCGAAUCCUGUCGCCCCGACCA
RNAcentral lists this transfer RNA (77 nucleotides) under Ramlibacter sp. RNAcentral describes it as "tRNA-Pro". It matches the Rfam family "tRNA". From Rfam's summary of the family: Transfer RNA (tRNA) molecules are approximately 80 nucleotides in length. Their secondary structure includes four short double-helical elements and three loops (D, anti-codon, and T loops). The record is from RNAcentral. Lineage: Bacteria; Pseudomonadati; Pseudomonadota; Betaproteobacteria; Burkholderiales; Comamonadaceae. RNAcentral also lists the same sequence under 1 other name.